Molecule: long non-coding RNA, 1350 nt
Organism: Chiroxiphia lanceolata (lance-tailed manakin)
Lineage: Eukaryota; Metazoa; Chordata; Aves; Passeriformes; Pipridae
Exons: 2
Source: RefSeq, a predicted model, not a curated record
CGCUUUCCGCCUCCUUCACGUCUACGCUGAACUUGUACUCCUGGUCACAGCCCAUGUAGGCGUCACUCAUGAAGUACAAUGUGUAGUUGUGAGUCCCCGUGGCUGGAGCCACAAAAUCCAGCUUGACCUGGGUGGGGAGGGGGAGGUGUUGGGAUGGCAGCAGGGACAGCAGGGAAGGUGCCCAGUGCCACUCCCGGUGCCACCCCCUACUCACCUUGGCCUUCUGCUGCAGCGUCAGGCGCUUGAUGGAGAUGAGGCUGUUGGACUUGGAGUCUCCGAUCACCACCCACCAGCCCUCCUCACGUUUCUGAGGAGGAGGGAGGAGCAAACAGCUGCACCAGCACCACCACGGGCCCUCCACUGCAGGAACAGAACCACAGAAUUGUGGAAUGGUUGGGGUUGGAAGGACCUUAAAUUCCACCCAGCUGGAGGGACCCCAAGGCCACCCACCUGCGGAUGCUGUCCUUGUCCACCACCUCGUAGGACAGCUCGAUGUUGGGGUAGCGGUUGCAGAACCGGGCGACAUCGGCGAUCUGGGCAUCCGAGAGCUGCAGCAGCGCGUUCCUGUCCUCGUCCUCCAUCUCCAUGAUGUCAAACACGCUCUCCACACCCUGCAAGGAGGGAUUUUUUCAGCCUGGAGCUUCCUGGCACUCUGAGGGCAGGGCCCUGGUGCUCCUCCCACCAGGAUUUACCUUGUCCGUGCAGCGCUUGAUGUGCUCCGAGGUGAAGUGAGGCAGCUGCUUGAGGUAGGAGUCCUUGGACCACAUGGCCUGGGUGACCAUCUGGGCCAGCUCCAUGGCCGCCAGAGCUGGGCUCAGCCACCCAUUGCUGGACAGCACGUCCACGCAGGCCUGGAUCAGCCGGAUCGCCUGGACAUGGGGGACAGGAAGAGGUUAAGGGGUGGAGACAGUGACAUGGGGAGUUGGGUUGGUGUGCCCAGGGUUUGGUAGCGGAGGGGCUACAGGGUUGGAUUCAGUGAGAAACUGCCAGAAGUUUGCCCCAUGUCCAGCAGAGCCAAUUACAGCAGACCCAGGACGGACCCACCACUGGCCAAAGCUGAGCCCAGCAGGAAUAACAGUUACACCUUCUGGGAUAAAAUGUUUAAGGAAAAAGUUAUGGCACAGAUGGAACUGGGUGCAGGGAGGAGCAGAGUGAGAACAUGUGAGAGAAGCAGCCCUGCAGAGCAGCAGGAGCAACAUGGUAUGAACUGACUGUGACCCCCAUUCCCAUCUCUGGAGGUAGGAGGGAGAGCCUGGGAAGGAGGGAGGGGAAAGUGUUUUUUGAAGACUUAUUUAACUUUUCAUUAUCCUGCUCUGAUUUGGUUGGUAAUAAAUUCAAUUCCUAUCCCCA